Long non-coding RNA from Andrographis paniculata, 3312 nucleotides. RefSeq lists it as uncharacterized. Lineage: Eukaryota; Viridiplantae; Streptophyta; Magnoliopsida; Lamiales; Acanthaceae. The transcript has 15 exons. The record is from RefSeq and is a predicted model, not a curated record.
CUGUAAUUCCGGGGAAGCUUCGAUUCCUCUGACGCCCUUAUAACCCACAGAAAUCUCACCGGAAUUUGCUUCAGUGCGGCGGCGAUUUCUCCGAUCUGCUCCGAUUCCGGCCGCGCGACGUUGUCAUUUUUGUUCAGACAGACACUCGUAAGUUCCAGUUCCAUCUAGUUCCAGUGCCCUCUCCGCUCCUGCCCCUCACCCAGCCCCAUCAGUCAAGUCACUCAUGUUUCCCAUCAGACACAUGGACGCCCGCUCCAUCGAAGAUGAUGACUCGGUUUUCAUCUGGUGGAUGAAUCAACAUCUCCACAACUACCAAGAAGAUCGACGUUGAUAAUAGGAUUUCCCUUCCCUUCCCUUCUACCACCGAAUCGAAUUGCGGAUAAUAUUCAUUCUCAAGCAGGCCCCCACCGUCGCACCGCACCUCUCCCCUUAAAAGAAAGGAAAGCAAGCCCCGUGCGGUGCAUUUCCUUGAAAGAAAGGAAAGCCCUUGGUGCAGAUCGCUGCGAAUCGAACCGAACCGGGCAAGACCGUCCAGUUCCAGUUCCACCAGUUCCCUUCACUUCUGCCCCUCGCCCAGCCCACAAGUCACUCAUGUUUCCCAUCAGACACAUGGACGCCCUCUCCAUCUUGCGAUCAAUCAUUCAAUCAGAAAAGAGUACUGGUUCAUGUAAGAAAUAAUCGCAGCUUCAUCCACCAGCAAUAUGAACAGCUAAAGACGUUUUUCUUAUUUAUUUGUUUGUAAUUAUCAGAAAAGAGCAUUGGUCCUGUGAAACCAAUCCUAUGUUUUGCGUGAGGCAUUUCAAAUCAAGAUCCUUGAUACUGUGAUAGUCUAUCAACAUCUCACCUAAGAAUUAAAAACUGAGUCAGUCAUCUUAGUAUAAAUAAAUCUAUUAUUUAUUAUGGAGGCAAGGAGGAUUGUUCGAGGUAAACCGAAUGCAGUUGCUAGACCGCACCAAAAAAGGGUAAGCCAACGUGGAGACUCGAGGACCGACAGAGAUCCACUCGAUGACGAAGAUCUAUUCGGGGCCAAAGACGAUUACGAAUGGAGUUGCUAGACCGCACCAAAGAAAUGGAGAAUUUCGCUACUUUUGCUUUCACUUUUAUUGCAUUUUUAAAAUGCAUUCAUUUUCAACAUUUCUUGCAUUUAGCUUUAGCAUAAAUUUAAGUCCCGGGACAUCCAUGCAUUGAUUAUCAACUUAAAUCUCAUACUGACUCCCAAACGCGUACUAUCUAUCUCUUUCUUGUAUUAUCUGUAGGUAAGCCAACGUGGAGACUCGAGGACCGACAGAGAUCCACUCGAUGAUGAAGAUAAGUUAUUUAAAUCUAAUUUAUACUUUCAAAUGUUUAUUUACUUAUAUUAAUUUUGAAUCCUUUCAAAUCUAUUCCGGGGCAAAGAGGAUUACUAAUGGAGUUUCUAGACCGCACCAAAGAAAGAGAGAAUUUAUCUACUUUUCCUUUUACUUUUAUUGCAUCUUAGAAUUGCAUUCAUUUUCAAGCUUUCUUGCAUUUAGCUUUUGCAUAAAUUUACGUCCCAGGACAUCCAUGCAUUGAUUAUCAAAUUAACUCUCAUAAUGAUUUCCAAACGCGUACUAACUAUUUCAUUUUGUAUUAUCUGUAAGUAAGCUAACGUGGUGACUCGAGGACCCACAGAGAUCCACUCGAUGAUGAAGAUCUAUUCAGGGGCAAAGUGGAUUACGAAUGGAGUUGCUAGACCACACCAAAGAAAAGGAGAAUUUCGGUAAGCCAAAGUGGAGACUCGAGGACCGACAGAGAUCCACUUGAUGACAAAGGAUUACGAAUAGAGUUGCUAGACCGCACCAAAGAAAGGGAAGCCAACGUGGAGACUCGAGGACCGACAGAGAUCCACUCGAUGACGAAGAGGAUUACGAAUGGAGUUGCUAGACCGCACCAAAGAAAGGGAAGCCAACGUGGAGACUCGAGGACCGAAAGAGAUCCACUCGAUGACGAAGAUCUAUUCGGGGGCAAAGAGUAUUACGAAUGGAGUUGCUAGACCACACCAAAGAAAGGGAGAAUUUCGCUACUUUUCCUUUUACUUUUAUUGCAUCUUAGAAUUGCAUUCAUUUUCAAGCUUUCUUGCAUUUAGCUUUAGCAUAAAUUUAAGUCCCGGGACAUCCAUGCAUUGAUUAUCAACUUAACUCUCAUACUGACUCCCAAACGCGUACUAUCUAUCUCUUUUUUGUAUUAUUUGUAGGUAAGCCAACAUGGAGACUCGAGGACCGACAGAGAUCCACUCGAUGACGAAGAUAAGUUAUUUAUAUCUAUUUUAUACUUUCGAAUGUUUAUUUACUUGUAUUAAUUUUGAAUUUUUUCAAAUCUAUUCCGGGGCAAAGAGGAUUAGUAAUGGAGUUGCUAGACCGCACCAAAUAAAGGGAGAAUUUAGCUACUUUUCCUUUUACUUUUAUUGCAUCUUAGAAUUGCAUUCAUUUUCAAGGUUUUUGCAUUUAGCUUUAGCAUAAAUUUACGUCCUGGGACAUCCAUGCAUUGAUUAUCAACUUAACUCUCAUACUUACUCCCAAAUGCGUAGUAUCUCUUUUUUAUAUUAUCUUUAGGUAAGCCAACGUGGAGACUCGAGGACCGACAGAGAUCCACUCGAUGACGAUGGUAAGUUAUUUAAAUCUAAUUUAUACUUUCGAAUGGCAAUACAUGAGCCUAGUCGAGAAUAUGUUUGGUUGAGAUCAAUGACUCAACAUAUUCUGAAAAAUUAUGGGUUAAUACCCGACGAUAGAAUUCCCCCAACUACAUUGUAUGAAGAUAAUACAGCUUGUAUAGCGCAAUUAAAAGGGGGUUACAUCAAAAUAGAUAGAACAAAACAUAUUUCACAAAAAUUCUUUUUGACUCAUUAUUUACAGCAAACUGGUGAAAUCAAUGUGCAACAAAUUCGAUCAGAUAAUAAUUUAGCGGAUGUAUUAACCAAGACAUUACCGACUGCUAUAUUUGAAAAAUUAGUAAAGAAAAUUGGAAUGCGUCGGUUCAGAGAUCUCAAAUAAUGCUCAGAUUAGGUGGAGCAAAUAAAUACAAGAAUGUUGUACUAUUUUUCUUUCACUAAUUUUUUUUUCCCACAGGGUUUUUUUCCAGUAAGGUUUUAACGAGACACAUUUUCUGUGUAAUAGCAUCCAAGGGGGAGUGUUAUACACGUAUAUGCUUUAUACGUAAUUAUGUGGAUGCAGCUAAAUUAAACAUGUAUUUAGUUUUAUUUUAUGUGCGUAUGACUAAUUUUCAACCAUGAAAUUGGAUGGUGAAAAUGUCUAUAUAUACCAUAUAUAUUACAAUGAAAUAAAAGAGAAGAUAUCU